CAGCAGCCGCCGCGGUAAUACGGAGGGUGCAAGCGUUAUCCGGAUUUAUUGGGUUUAAAGGGUCCGUAGGCGGAUCUGUAAGUCAGUGGUGAAAUCUCACAGCUUAACUGUGAAACUGCCAUUGAUACUGCAGGUCUUGAGUAAAUUUGAAGUGGCUGGAAUAAGUAGUGUAGCGGUGAAAUGCAUAGAUAUUACUUAGAACACCAAUUGCGAAGGCAGGUCACUAAGAUUUAACUGACGCUGAUGGACGAAAGCGUGGGGAGCGAACAGGAUUAGAUACCCCCGUAGUCCCUGUCUCUUAUAC
Molecule: ribosomal RNA, 304 nt
Filed under: uncultured bacterium
Lineage: Bacteria
Description: partial 16S ribosomal RNA
Rfam family: Bacterial small subunit ribosomal RNA
Source: RNAcentral